GAAUGCCUAGAGCAGGAAAGUAAUUUCAUCCCUGACUAUUUUCCUAAUUGAGAUUAUUCCAAGAGAUGGACGAAGUUUGUUCAAACUAGAAGACUUAAGGCCCAAGUAAGAUUAAUGGGCUUGAAGAAUCAAAAUAAAGUCAAAGCUUUGGGCCCAACUCGAGAAGGCCUCAAGGCCUUAUGGCCAAGAUGGUCCACGACCCAAGGAUGUCGCAACCAUGGGCAGCCCACAC
Molecule: long non-coding RNA, 232 nt
Filed under: Carica papaya (papaya)
Lineage: Eukaryota; Viridiplantae; Streptophyta; Magnoliopsida; Brassicales; Caricaceae
Description: long non-coding RNA (CPAP_LNC015149)
Source: RNAcentral